Molecule: long non-coding RNA, 789 nt
Filed under: Brassica napus (rape)
Lineage: Eukaryota; Viridiplantae; Streptophyta; Magnoliopsida; Brassicales; Brassicaceae
Description: long non-coding RNA (BNAP_LNC017561)
Source: RNAcentral
ACACAUUAAACCAAAAACAAACUAAAACAUUUGGUAACCUAAACCUAAACUAAGCCUCCGCCGGCAACCCUAAUCCUCCGCCUCUAGCCUCCAGGGCAUCCACCUCCUGAGUGUUGUCGUCGCAUCACCUAGUCACCGUAGUUGACUUCUAUCGAGUCGUCUGCUAUAGCCAUCAGAGGGAUACUUGUCCUUGUUAAUAGAAGAGCAAAAAGCACCUCAUGAACAAGCCUGUGACAAGAACUCAAAAAGGUCAAACUACGAUCUGUAUAAAAGUUCAAGCAGUCAUGAACUUACGUCUAUUUGUCUAUUUGUGCUUGGAUAAGAUCUGUAUAAAGGCAGAGUCUUGUAGGUAUCUUUACCUCGAACAGGAAGAACACUUAUCCUCCUCCGCCAUUGAAUUAAGAGGGAGAUAGAGAGGACGGUGGUGGGUGGGAGAGAUGGCUAUGGUCCACUAUCUUCAGAUCCGAAGUCGCUGUGCUCGGCUACACCUCAACGAUCUUAAGCCACCGUCGUCUUCCAUGGCACGCUUCACCUCCACAUCUCUUGCCGGCGUUGCUUACUCUCAACACAAAUCAGAAAGUACUAUCAACGAUGAAGGAAAGGAAGAGAACAAGAAAAGAAAAGGAGAAACAAAAUCUGGAUCUAGGAAAGUAGAGAGACGGAGAGGAAGAGAAAGAGAUAGACAGAAAGUUUAAAAAAAAUAUUGAUUAAUUAUAUCCAUUAGAUCGAAAACAAUCAACGGUGGAUGGUAAAACUUUAGUUAUCCUCACCCUUCUGAAUUAGCUUCUC